UCAAAGUUCUAACCUUUGAUUUCUAAUUUCUCUUCUCCUAAUCCCUAAUUAUCUCAUCAUCAAUGUUAUUUCUCUUCUCCCAAUUUAAUUUCUCUUCUCCCAAUCCCUUAUCAUCUCAUCAUCAAUGUUAUUUCUUUUCCCAAUUCAUAUACUACAAUUUAAUCGUCACUCCUAUUUUCCAGGUUGCAGCUCAGAACUUUGUUAUGAAACGACUCUGGGGUUAUGUAAUUAAGAGUAGAUGUUGGGUUUGAAAAGGUGCAAAUGGAGACUAAACGUGUAAACCUCAAACUUCUUGGAAAGAAAAACCAUAUGUUCUGGACUGACCAAACAACGAAGAACUUGGCCCAAUUUUAUGUUUGACCAUUAAAUUAAGUUAAAAUCGUGUAGUUUUUAAUUUAUUUUCAAUCGAUCCCAAUAUGAGAAUGUUUGUUAUUCAAAAAAUAUAAAUGUGUUUGGGGCAAAUAUUUAUUAGGUUAGAUUUGACAGAUUUAUCGUUUUGUUCUUUUGUAUAUGCAUUAUCAUUAAAAAAAAUUUAGGUAGU
Molecule: long non-coding RNA, 541 nt
Organism: Vicia villosa (hairy vetch)
Lineage: Eukaryota; Viridiplantae; Streptophyta; Magnoliopsida; Fabales; Fabaceae
Exons: 3
Source: RefSeq, a predicted model, not a curated record